Molecule: ribosomal RNA, 427 nt
Filed under: uncultured bacterium
Lineage: Bacteria
Description: partial 16S ribosomal RNA
Rfam family: Bacterial small subunit ribosomal RNA
Source: RNAcentral
GUGAGGAAUUUUGCGCAAUGGCCGCAAGGCUGACGCAGCAACGCCGCGUGAAGGAUGAAGGCCUUCGGGUUGUAAACUUCUUUUGGAGGGGACGAAUAAAUUGACGGUACCCUCAGAAAAAGCCACGGCUAACUACGUGCCAGCAGCCGCGGUAAUACGUAGGUGGCGAGCGUUACUCGGAAUUACUAGGCGUAAAGCGUAUGUAGGCGGUUGUAUAAGUCUAUGGUGAAAUUUCCUGGCUCAACUGGGAAGGGACAUAGAUACUGUAUGGCUUGAGUGUUGGAGGGGGAGACGGAAUUCCUGGUGUAGCGGUGAAAUGCGUAGAUAUCAGGAGGAACACCGAUGGCGAAAGCAGUCUCCUGGCCAAAUACUGACGCUGAGGUACGAAAGCUAGGGUAGCAAACAGGAUUAGAAACCCCAGUAGUCC